GACGAACGCUGGCGGCGUGCUUAACACAUGCAAGUCGAACGGAAAGGCCCUGCUUUUGUGGGGUGCUCGAGUGGCGAACGGGUGCGUAACACGUGAGUAACCUGCCCUUGACUUUGGGAUAACUUCAGGAAACUGGGGCUAAUCCCGGAUAGGAGCUCCUGCCGCAUGGUGGGGGUUGGAAAGUUUCGGCGGUUGGGGAUGGACUCGCGGCUUAUCAGCUUGUUGGUGGGGUAGUGGCUUACCAAGGCUUUGACGGGUAGCCGGCCUGAGAGGGUGACCGGCCACAAUGGGACUGAGAGACGGCCCAGACUCCAACGGGAGGCAGCAGUGGGGAAUAUUGCACAAUGGGCGGAAGCCUGAUGCAGCAACGCCGCGUGCGGGAUGACGGCCUUCGGGUUGUAAACCGCUUUCGCCUGUGACGAAGCGUGAGUGACGGUAAUGGGUAAAGAAGCACCGGCUAACUACGUG
Molecule: ribosomal RNA, 468 nt
Filed under: uncultured bacterium
Lineage: Bacteria
Description: partial 16S ribosomal RNA
Rfam family: Bacterial small subunit ribosomal RNA
Source: RNAcentral